GGCCAGGCCAUGGGCUAGGGCUUAUACAGAAAGAUGAGCAAGACAAGUCCCUGUCGGUGGCCAGGAUGCUCACAACCUCUCUGAGCAGAUGCAGUAAGGUGUGUACCCUGGGAAGAGCAUACCCUGAGAGUGUGGCUGCAGGAGGAAGUCACAAACUGUCCCAAGAAGGCAGGGAUAAGGAAGGUGAAAUCUCUGAACAACAGUCCUGAAUUCUCCUAUCACACUGAUUUGGUGGCAGCCUCUGCAAAGGGGAGUGAAUACAUGUGAUAUUUGAUGGAUUCCACCUUCACGAAUUUUGGUUGGCAACACCUGCACCCAGAGGCCUGGUAUUCUUGGCAGCCUCACUGUGAUAAGCACAAGCUGCCACUAGGUGACAGUAAGCCCCUAAGUGGCACACCCCCCCCAUCCAGGUGUGCUGUGCUUUAUCUGAAAUUGACUGCACCCCCUGAAUCCUGCACCCUCGAUCCGUUUUAAAUAUCGAAGGCAAACAUUAAAGCCUUAAUAAGAUUUGCCUUUUUAAGAAUAAUAUUAGAGCAGAAUAAAUAUAUUCAAUACAUUUUCUCACUAAUUCCACUUGAGCCAGUUAAUCCCCGUUAAUCUUAGUAGAACAUGCAUGCUACCAAGGUUGGACAUGCUACUUAACAGUGCUUUUGUUUUCUCUUCUGAAUAUUGUGGAGACUAAUAGUGCCUGCUUUUUAGGGUGAAGAUCUAGUAAUUACUCAGUAAAAGUUAGUAAUAAUCCCCCAAAUUUAUGGAUUCUUCUCCUAGUCUGAAAACUUCCUUGCAUUUUAUUUUCAGAUUCCAGGAAAACCGAUUUCAGUUUACCCUUUGGAUGCCUUUUCCCCUGGCUUCUCUGUCAAGGGCAAAAUCAUUCAGACACUCACUUUGGGCUAUUUAGAGUUCAUUCAAAGGGGUCCCCCUGUCCUUGUGGGGCUCCUGGUCAGUUGUGGGCUCAAUGCUUCCUCUGCAAUUGAUCUCCUCAAAGGCUCCCUAAUUCCUCUCCUUCACUCAGGAAAAACAGGGGCAGAGGUGAAGGUGUUAAGUCACAUACGUAAUCUCUCCCCAGUCGGAAGGAAAGUAAUAGAGAAGAGAAUCUUCCUAUCCCGUUACUAGUUGCUUGUUAACUGGCAUUCAGUUAACCAGUACUUGUGCCAGGAAAAGAUUUUCUUAGAUGCCUGUUUCUUUUCACAGAAUACUUGAAAUAAAAUUUAAAUAAGGCUCUUGUAAACAGAUUUUUUUUUUUUUGGCUUGUGUGGCAUAUGGAAGGCCAGAUGUGUGGCAUAUGGAAGUUCCCAGGCCAGGGGCCAAAUUGGAGCUGCGGCUGCCAGCCUAUGCCACAACUACAGCAACACAGGAUCUGAUCCACAUCUUCGACCUACACCACAGCUCACAGCAAUGCUGGAUCCUUGAGCCCCUGAGCGAAGCCAGGGAUCGAACCCGCAUCCUCAUGGAUACUGGUUGGGUUUGUUACUGCUGACGCACUACGGGAACUCCAGGCUCUUUGAUCUCAUGACAAUGAAAAAUAAAACAGGACACCCACAUAAUAAAAAUCAUAUGAUGUUAAACAGGACUUGAAUACUUUUACAAGCAGAAAGCUGUGAAGAGCUACGUAACUGACUUAAGUGCACACAAUGUGUGUUCACAAGUUUAGGGAAGAAGGGCAGGACUUCAACUCAGUCAGGGCUUGGAUGCUGGUAGGGUUGUUACAGGCACUUCUCUGGGCCUCAGUUUCCCCAAGUGACAAAAGAAAAUAACACUAGUCUCAUUAGUGAGGGCCUACAGUGUGCCUUAUGUAGGUAUCUUGAAUACAUUUUCUUAUCCACACAACACCCCGAACUAAGAGAUUGUUACAUAAUGUACAUUCGGCAUUAUUGUGAGAAAUAAAUACAUGUGGAAGGCAGGACAGAAGACUGUGAAGCCUCCAGCACAGGCACUCAAAUGUUUGUUUCUUUCUUUCUUUGCUUCUUCUCCCCUCAAAUCCAUGUACUUCCUUGGGUUGUUACUCUAUGGAGCUGGUAUUUUGCUCUGAGCCUCCAUGAGGAGUAUAAGUCCCAGAAGUUCAGAGAAAUUCAUCAUUGCUUGUUGAGAAGCUGAAGUGCAGAGGGUUUGCCAUGUUUAGCACUUCCUCUGAGAUACAUAGCUCCCCCUACAUGAGAGCCGGAUGGGACUGCCUACUCCCCAACACAAGAAUCAAUUGUUUAAUGACUGAGAAACUACGGGAUAUGAACACUCCUUCCUUUUUCCACCCACCAUCAUCUUGGGAGAUUCAUUUCUUUAAACAAACAUUUAUGGUACACUCAUGCCAGGAUGCUCGAUGUAGGAUUAUGGCUGUGAAUAGGUGGGUGAGAAUCUGGUCUUCAAGAGCUCCUGGUCCAAGAGGUAAGAUGACACACAGAGACCUACCUCUAAGUCAUGGUGUACUCAGGACCCCCAAAGAGAACAGCUAAGGUGCUAUGAGAGUUCACAAGAGAGAAGUAACUUGAGUGUGUUGGUGGUGGGGGUGUGGGAGAGAAAGUGGUGAUUAGGGAAGGCUUCCUGUAGAAGGCAGCCUGAAUUAGAGCAAGGAUGUCAAGAAGUAUUUACUGAGUAGCUACUGUGUGUCAAGUCCUGGCUUUAACAGAUAGGAAGGUAAGCUUUUCUCAAGAAAGGAGAAAAAUAACCCAUUUGUUUAUUCUACUGACAAAUAUUUAUCGUGCAGUGGCACCAGGAAUACAACCAUCAACAUGAUAGAUGUAGUCCCAUCAAAGAACUUACAAUUUCAGGGA
This 2765-nucleotide long non-coding RNA is filed under the name Sus scrofa (pig). RNAcentral describes it as "lncRNA (ENSSSCG00030058112.1)". Lineage: Eukaryota; Metazoa; Chordata; Mammalia; Artiodactyla; Suidae. The record is from RNAcentral.